This 29-nucleotide non-coding RNA is filed under the name Mus musculus (house mouse). Lineage: Eukaryota; Metazoa; Chordata; Mammalia; Rodentia; Muridae. The record is from RNAcentral.
UGACGAACCCUUACUGCUGAGUGAGCCAC